GGGGGAAAUAAUUAGAUAUAAAAAUAGAUAUUAAAAAAUGGGGUUCCUUAUUGAAAAGUGUGACCAAAAAUACCCACUCUUUGAAUCUAAUAGAAUUUAUUUUAAAGUAUGAAAUAGGUGGCACUUAGUUCCAGACAGAAUUAACAAAAUGUUCCCAAUGAGGAUUCUCUUUGCUGGAGAUGUUGAGCAAUAACAUGCAGAUACCUACAUGUAUGCUGGGAGUGUGCUAUGAUUAAAGAUUUAUGGGGUAGAACCUAUCAGUUUAUCCUUACAAAUCUAAAUUACAAAAUAAAUCUCCAGAAGUGAGAUUUUAAUUGGCCUCCUAUGUGCUCUGUGAACAAAUUGAUUAUAACACAACUAUUUUUGGCAACAAAAUUAGUGAUUUCAAAACAUUGGAAAAAUGAAAAAAUAUAUACCUUGGCUAUUAGUCAAAAAACUAUUUGAAUUUCAGGUCAAGAUGGAACAACUGUUUAGUAAACCAAGCAUUAAAAAAAUACAGAAAAACAUUGCCUUGGGAUAUCUGCCUUGAAACGUUAAAUAUUACUCCAACCACAUUUAGUUGAUAGAACAACAGUAGCAUCUUAGGGAAUAAAAAGGGUAACAUAACAUAUUGUUUUUUAUGUCUG
Pelobates cultripes (western spadefoot toad) is the source of this 626-nucleotide non-coding RNA. The record is from the annotation of a GenBank genome assembly. NCBI's taxonomy places the organism in Eukaryota, Metazoa, Chordata, Amphibia, Anura, Pelobatidae.